Molecule: long non-coding RNA, 1727 nt
Filed under: Mus musculus (house mouse)
Lineage: Eukaryota; Metazoa; Chordata; Mammalia; Rodentia; Muridae
Description: long non-coding RNA chr14:27968842-27970569
Source: RNAcentral
AUGUUUUGGGGAGGUCUGUGGAAGGACUUUGGAAUUUUGGGCUUGAAGAUCCAUUCGUUGUUAAGAGCUCUGUCAGAUGUUUUGUAGGAGCUUGGAAGAUAAUGUUGAGAACAGUGCAGAAGAUGGAGGCCUGGCUUGUGAAAUUUCAGAGGGAAAAUUAAAGACUCUUUUCAGGGCCAUUCCUGUUUUGAUUGUGAAGAUUCUGUAGUUCUGGUUAGCUGGGGCUGAAGAAUCAGCUGUGAUUAACAAGAUACCAGAACUACUAAAACAAAAACUUUGCAUUACUGGGACUAUUGAUGCUGGUUAGCUGGAGCUAAGAAAUUAGCGGUGAUUAAGAAGAGACCAGCAUCAUUGAGGUGACAUUUUCUGGGAAGUGUUUUCUGAGAGCACAGUGGCUGUGUUCCAGAUAUAGCCAAAGUUGUACAUUGUGCUGUGGCUGGACUUGGUAAUGUGUAAGGGUCACCCAGGUGGUACUGGUUUUGAAGGCAUGAAGGAGUUGAGCAGAGCAGCUGAGGCUUGGCACUGUGAGAGGCCAUGGAAGGCCAUUGGUGAAAGUGCAGCCUCAGUUGCAAUUGAUGGCCCAGGACUGAAGGGGUCAUGCAGUGUUUUGGAGAUGCCAGUACCAUGAGAUGACCACCAAGAGCAGCAGCAGCAGUGGAGUACAGGCAUCUGGAGCCUAGAGGAUGACGCGUGUGCUACAAAGGGCAUGGCUGGAGAAGUGACCCAAGCCCUUGGAGGAGCCCAGAAGAUCGUGAGUUGGAUCCCAGACAUUGGACGGUUGGAGAUUGACUUUUGCUUUUGAUUGUGACUGUGCCCUGAUAUUUUCCCUCUUGAAGGAAGAAACUGUUUUAGUGGAGCCCACAGUUAAGAGACUUUUAAUUGUAAAAAGUCUUUGGAUUUUAAGAGAGAUGGAUAUUUUAAAGAGAUUGAAAUUUUAAGAAUAUGUAAAGACUGUGGGACUUUUAAAGUUAUUUAGAUCUUGGGGAUGAAUAAGAUUGUAAGGGUUGAGGCUUACUAGUGAUGUUUUUGUGUGUCAAGUUGACAAGGGGUCAAUUGUACUGGCUAGUUUUGUGUCAACUUGACACAGCUGGAGUUAUCAUAGAGAAAGGAGCUUCAGUUGAGGAAAUGCCUCCAUGAGAUACAACUGUAAGGCAUUUUCUCAAUUAGUGAUCAAGGGGGAAAGGCCCCUUGUGGGUGGGACCAUCUCUGGGCUGGUAGUCUUGGGUUCUAUAAGAAAGCAGGCUGAGCAAGCCAGGUGAGGCAAGCCAGUAAAGAACAUCCCUCCAUGGCCUCUGCAUCAGCUCCUGCUUCCUGACCUGCUUGAGUUCCAGUCCUGGCUUCCUUGGUGAUGAACAGCAGUAUGGAAGUGUAAGCCGAAUAAACCCUUUCCUCCCCAACUUGUUUCUUGGUCCUGAGGUUUGUGCAGGAAUAGAAACCCUGACUAAGACAGUAACUAAGGGCUGUAUAUUCUUCUGAAGAGACAUACAUGUUGUCUCAUAGUGCAGACAUUUUAUAGGACUUCAGCUUUCAUACGGCACUGGUUCCAGACCCAUGGUGCUAUCUAUCAACUGCUAAGCUCUUCAGUCGAAAUGAGCUAUAACUAUGACAAGUGUAUUAUAUUUUAAAGAUUUUUUUUCGAGGAAAGUCCAUAUAAGAGUACUUGACAAUAAUUUCUAUAUUAUUUUAUGAAAAUGUUUUGGGUGUAUCAGUCAUAUAAAAUAUACUUC